GCGCGGUCCACGUGCAGUCCAUGCACAAAACCAGCCAAAGUGAUCCAUGGGGGUCUACAGCAACAGUGAUCAGUUCACAGUCGGUUCAUAGAUUGGGUAUAUGUGCAGUCCAUAGCUAUAGGGAGGCGGGUCUUUUUAUCAUGGUGCAUGGGAAAUGGGGCUGGAUUUUGCACUAUUAGAUGGUUGGGUGCAAUCUUCAUGC
Molecule: long non-coding RNA, 202 nt
Filed under: Elaeis guineensis (African oil palm)
Lineage: Eukaryota; Viridiplantae; Streptophyta; Magnoliopsida; Arecales; Arecaceae
Description: long non-coding RNA (EGUI_LNC055252)
Source: RNAcentral